CGCGGCCUAUCAGCUUGUUGGUGGGGUAGUGGCCUACCAAGGCGGCGACGGGUAGCCGGCCUGAGAGGGUGACCGGCCACAUUGGGACUGAGAUACGGCCCAGACUCCUACGGGAGGCAGCAGUGGGGAAUAUUGCACAAUGGGCGCAAGCCUGAUGCAGCAACGCCGCGUGCGGGAUGACGGCCUUCGGGUUGUAAACCGCUUUCAGCAGGGACGAAGCUUUUUGUGACGGUACCUGCAGAAGAAGCACCGGCUAACUACGUGCCAGCAGCCGCGGUGAUACGUAGGGUGCGAGCGUUGUCCGGAUUUAUUGGGCGUAAAGGGCUCGUAGGCGGUUGAUCGCGUCGGAAGUGGAAACUUGAUGCUUAACGUUGAGCGUGCUUUCGAUACGGGUUGACUUGAGGAAGGUAGGGGAGAAUGGAAUUCCUGGUGGAGCGGUGGAAUGCGCAGAUAUCAGGAGGAACACCAGUGGCGAAGGCGGUUCUCUGGACCUUUCCUGACGCUGAGGAGCGAAAGCGUGGGGAGCGAACAGGCUUAGAUACCCUGGUAGUCCACGCUGUAAACGGUGGGUACUAGGUGUGGGGUCCAUUCCACGGGUUCCGUGCCGUAGCUAACGCUUUAAGUACCCCGCCUGGGGAGUACGG
RNAcentral lists this ribosomal RNA (644 nucleotides) under uncultured bacterium. RNAcentral describes it as "bacterial SSU rRNA". It matches the Rfam family "Bacterial small subunit ribosomal RNA", at positions 232 to 885 of the family's 1533-position model. The record is from RNAcentral.